This is a long non-coding RNA of Bolinopsis microptera, 3284 nucleotides long. RefSeq lists it as uncharacterized. NCBI's taxonomy places the organism in Eukaryota, Metazoa, Ctenophora, Tentaculata, Lobata, Bolinopsidae. The transcript is spliced from 4 exons. The record is from RefSeq and is a predicted model, not a curated record.
GUCUUGAGCUCACCGUGCUGUUUUCUUUAUUGUUUAAACUCGCACUCUCGUUAUCUUCAACUGUGUUUCUUUGAUUUCCGGACUUAAAGUUGAUCAUCUUGGGCGUUUGAUACAUAUCUGACAGAGGUAUCCAGUGGUAUACGAGUGACAAGCUUCAUUACUGAGGCAUUGAAUCUACUUCCUAACUGUGUUAUUACGAAUCAAGAAGAACCUAGUACACAAAUUUCAAGUACUGGACCCAGGCCUGCAAUCAUUCAGCGUUUAUAACUUCUUCCUAUUAACUGUAAAGCUCAACACCAACCUUUACAUUAAGAUAUAUCAAUUGAUCAACAAUGGAUAACUAUUUGGAAAUAGGCAAACAAAUAUACGAAGAAUAUUGCUCAACGGCUGAAAACCUGCCCACAAUGCUUCCAAGAGCACCAGAGCAGACCUACAUUGAUGUAUAUCCAGAUGAAGAUCAGCCCGGUCUCAGCUUUACAGAUGACGUCAGACGACAUCAAUUAGGCUACGAGACCGAAGUUAAGGUGUAUAGGGCUUUAGAAGAGGUAGAUGGAAACUUUAUUGUUCUUCACAGCUUCAAUUACACGCAUCAUCAAUAUCGUUUGUGUGCAGGUAAAAGUCAUAUCCGAAGAAGAUGUUCUAAAUGUAAAGGCAAGAAUGCAGAAAAUCAGGAGGGGGUUUGUGACUUUCUCAUCAUUUGUGCGGACAGUUUCAUUAUCAUCGAGGUAAAGAACAUGGAUAAUGUUGGAGAGGUUGUGGAAUGUGAACCAGACUUCCACCUGUGUUCAAUUGGCGAGGACUGGCAACCUCAGUGUAACAGAGACCAGCAGUUGAAAGCAUUGAAUGGAACGUUCCAGAAAUCAGUCAAACAAAGAAACAAGAUUGUUGAACUGAUCGAGUGUAUGGAUAAAGAUGCAAAAAUUCUUCAGUUCACUGCCUAUCCUAAUUUUAGUAAACAGUUUAAAGAUGAGUUUCAAUUUAGUGAGAUGACAGGACUCCGGUUAAGUGAUGAUGAACUGUCGACUAUCAUAUUUGAAGAAGAUUUAUCCACUUUUAAUGCUUGGUGGAAAGACAAUGUAACUGUGGCCAUAUCAUCCGUCAGAAGAUUUCCUGAAGAAACGGUAUCGAAUACAGAAAUGCCAAUAUCUGGAUACAACCAGGAUUCUCAUGAGAAAGCAAGGAACAUUUUACUAGCCAUAUGGGCCACAGAAAUACGCAGGUGUGAUAAAUCCAAGUGCAGUUUAGCACGAUGUAUUUUUGAUAUCAACAAACAACUUAGGGAAGGUCGCAUUACUUUCGAGCCUAAAAGAGGUGAACAACGUAAUCAUAAUCCCGGUGUGGUAAAAGCUCCUGAUGUCAUAAGCCGCUAUGUUGGAAUUUUAAACCUCACUAUAGAACAAAGUGUAGUGUUCGAAAGAGACGAAAACCUGCAAUGGAUAAAUGGACCUGCGGAGGCAGGUAGAACUGUAAUAUUAUGUGGUAAAAUGUUACAACUUAUACAAUCUGACGCGAAUAAUAAAGUUGUGUUAUUAAAAUACAAUGGAGAGGGCAACAACUCUCAACAUUAUCAGAGUGCAUUGAAAAAUUGUAGUGUAGAAUACGAGGUGAUUAACUAUCGCAAUUUUGAUGAUCGAGUAGCAGAGAGCAACUGUCCAGUUAUCAUAGUCGAGAUAACACGUUAUCUUCAUGUGCAACAAUUGAUUGAACGACUCAGUGGAGUUAGUGACCGUCAUUUGUUUUUGGACGAUGUACAGGUGACUUGGUACCGUAGCACAGCUGAAGAGUGUACUGAUCUAAUAGAUUUGUUGUUAGAGUUGUCGUCAAAUAAAUGUGUAUGGAUAGGGUGUGACUUUUCACAGGCUUGGGUAUUUCUAGGCCCAAAGUAUACUAUAGAUUUCGCUAAUGUACUGGUUCGCAAACUAUCGACUAGUCAGCGAGCAAAUUUAUCGAGAAGUCUUACAAUUAGCAGUGAUUUGUACAAUAUUCUAUAUGUGAUAAGAGAUACAUUUAUUAGACUGUCUAGGCUAUCUUCUGACUCUGAGAGAUUUGAUGAUGUUCUUUUGGAAAUUGUAUCACCCGACCUCGCACAAGGGCAUUUUAUUCAUGGGCCAAUACCCGUCAUACAUGCUUUCAAUAACUAUGAUAUAGGACCGAUUGGUCAUGCAUUUUGUAUUGAAUUAGAUGAAAUGUGUAAAAAUGAUGAAAUGAAUUAUUCUGAAAUGGGUAUCGUUUACAAUGAUGACAGGAGAGAUAUAAGAAUGUUAAUUAAAGACGUUGUUGAUAGACGAUGUAUUAACUCUGAAUAUAAGAUAGCAAUUUGCCACAGUAGGAAGAGUUUUUCUGCUGAGUGGCCAGCAGUAAUUGUAUUGCACAAAGUGUGCAGGUACAUUGAGAAAGACUUGAUCACACUUCAAUUAGAAAUAUCCAGAGCCCGUGUUUACUGCUCUGUUCUUUUAUACCCAGAGAAGGGUAAAGAUUUAGGCGAUUAUGGACAUAUUUCAGAUAUUUUAGAUAAACUGAAGGGUCGUGCACGCAUUUUAAAAUAUUGAAUUUGCAGUUCGCACUGCUCUUGAAGAUGUUUCAUAAAAUGAUAAAUAUAUGGCAUGGAUUUUUCUGAACGAUCUUCUUUUAUAGAUCACAAAACAUAUUUUAUAAGCUCAAACAUCAAAGGAGCGUUCCUUAAUAAUAUUUAUCAGUGUUUACUGCUCUGUUCUUUUAUACCCAGAGAAGGGUAAAGAUUUAUACGAUUAUGGAGUAUGGAUAUAUGGCCAUGGGGUCGUUCACAUAUUACGUAAUCACUGAGCGGGAGGGGGGCUUCUAAAUGAUUACGCUAGUGUAAUUUUGACACAAUAGCUAUGUGUAAAACUGAUUAAGGAGGGGGAGAGGGGGUCAAAAUUGACCAAAAGGUGAUUACGUAUUAUGUGAAUGGUCCCAUAUUUCAAAUCUUUAAAUAAACUGGAUGAUCGUGCAAGCAUUUUUCCCUGAAGUUUUUAUUGAAAAGUAAGUUCAAUAAACUUCUUUCCCCUGAUCUGAGCAUCUUUCCGUGCUUAACUUAUCGCUCCUAACCUUCCCAAUGAUAUUGGGCGACUAAUCUUAUGUAAAGUAUGAGUUUUGCCAGUCAUGAAAACUAAUAAUCUUUAACUGAUAAUUUUGAAAUACUAGAAGCUAGUGUAUCUUAGUUAUUAUUUUGACAACCUUGACUUAUAUGGAAUUACUUUUUUACUUUUGUGUUAAAUUUGAUUGAGAGUUGAGAAAUUUGUAAAAAUUUUACAUGUUUUUGAUAA